CAGUGGAAGGAGCAGAAGCUCGCCGAAAAACCCGCAAGCAACGAACAAAGCACAGAGCAGAGAUGAAAGAACUUAUGUUCCUGGACUGAAGCGUUGGGUUAAUAGGGUUACGGGUUGACAUGAUAGUUUGAUGUGACGAUCGUUCUUGAUGCCACAUUUAAUUAGCUGCCGAUAUCCAAGGAUAUAGCUUCAAUUCAUGGCUUGGGAUCUCUGGGGUUCUUCAUACGACCAAGUUUUCUGCAAAGAUAAUUGCUUGAUCAUCCUGAGUGGCCAUAUGGCUUCUUCUUUGGCUGUGACCCUGAUGUGAUAGAGAAAGAUGCCUUGAAUGAGGAGUACUGUGUUCAGGUUUUAAGGAUUUUGAUCACCAAGGCAGAUACCGAAAUCAAGGAACUUGAAAAGGAUCUAUGGUCCCCUUCAAAAUGAAUUGGCCUGCGCUGAGCAUGAGAAAUGGCCUGAAA
Arachis stenosperma is the source of this 458-nucleotide long non-coding RNA. RefSeq lists it as uncharacterized. The transcript has 5 exons. The record is from RefSeq and is a predicted model, not a curated record. NCBI's taxonomy places the organism in Eukaryota, Viridiplantae, Streptophyta, Magnoliopsida, Fabales, Fabaceae.